Molecule: small nucleolar RNA, 136 nt
Filed under: Fundulus heteroclitus (mummichog)
Lineage: Eukaryota; Metazoa; Chordata; Actinopteri; Cyprinodontiformes; Fundulidae
Description: Small nucleolar RNA SNORA13 (ENSFHEG00000000807.1)
Source: RNAcentral
UGCCUUUGUGUUGCCCUUUCACGAUGAUCUCAGUGAACAGGGUGUCUAUCAAGGCAAACAGUAACUCGGUGCUCGCUGUGAGGAAUUCAUCACUAUUGAUCCAUUUCUGCACAAUCGACUGCGAGCACCAACAUCA